GAUGGUGGCGAACGGGUGAGUAACGCGUAGAUAAUCUGCCCUUUAGACUGGGAUAAGCUCGGGAAACUGAGUCUAAUACCGGAUGUUAUGUUCACUUCGCAUGGAGAGAAUAUCAAAGAACUUGAUUCGCUAAAGGAUGAGUCUGCGUGGCAUUAGCUAGUUGGUGAGGUAACGGCUCACCAAGGCAUCGAUGCCUAGCUGGUCUGAGAGGAUGAUCAGCCACACUGGGACUGAGAUACGGCCCAGACUCC
RNAcentral lists this ribosomal RNA (251 nucleotides) under uncultured bacterium. RNAcentral's name for it is "partial 16S ribosomal RNA". It matches the Rfam family "Bacterial small subunit ribosomal RNA", at positions 91 to 339 of the family's 1533-position model. The record is from RNAcentral.